RNAcentral lists this ribosomal RNA (479 nucleotides) under uncultured bacterium. Its description in RNAcentral is "partial 16S ribosomal RNA". It matches the Rfam family "Bacterial small subunit ribosomal RNA", at positions 28 to 523 of the family's 1533-position model. The record is from RNAcentral.
GACGAACGCUGGCGGCGUGCUUAACACAUGCAAGUCGAGCGAUGAAGCACCUUCGGGUGUGAAUUAGCGGCGAACGGGUGAGGAACACGUGAGAAAUCUGCCUUCAACACUGGGAUAACUCCGGGAAACCGGGGCUAAUACCGGAUAUGAAACCUGCGGGCAUCCGCGGGUUUGGAAAGUUUUUCGGUUGAAGAUGAUCUCGCGGCCUAUCAGCUUGUUGGUGAGGUAAUGGCUCACCAAGGCGACGACGGGUAGCCGGCCUGAGAGGGCGACCGGCCACACUGGGACCGGGGCAAGGCCCAGACUCCUACGGGAGGCAGCAGUGGGGAAUAUUGGGCAAUGGAGGAAACUCUGACCCAGCGACGCCGCGUGCGGGAUGAAGGCCUUCGGGUUGUAAACCGCUUUCAGCAGGGAAGAAGCGAAAGUGACGGUACCUGCAGAAGAAGCACCGGCUAACUAUGUGCCAGCCGCCGCGGUAA